This 3412-nucleotide long non-coding RNA is filed under the name Rattus norvegicus (Norway rat). RNAcentral describes it as "long non-coding RNA NONRATT033460". The record is from RNAcentral. Lineage: Eukaryota; Metazoa; Chordata; Mammalia; Rodentia; Muridae.
GCGUGAGAUGCCCUAAGAUACGUUGAGGGCCCAACCAUUCAAAUCAGCAGCGGAGCGAGUCUUAGAGAAUCAGGAGAAAAGGAGAUGGGAGGCAGCAAGAAAGGACCCUCUUCCCCGCUCACCCUCCAACGGAUCUCGAAUCAGCAGUCACGUGGUCUUAGGAUCCCGGUAGAUGAAGUCUCAACUUGUCCACUGACUCAAAGCCAGCUAAUUGAAGUGAUGAGGUGCACAGCCUUGAGGAAGUAUCCACGACAUCAUCACAACUGUGUACUUCACUCUGUUCCUGAAGAGGCUCUCGAUCCCUCCACCCUGCAGGACAGCUCUCCACUGCGAUGGAGAGGUCAACUUCUGUUUUUAAAGUAUAUUGUUGCUGUCUUCAGACACACCAGAAGAGGGCAUCAGAUGUCAUUACAGAUGGUUGUGAGCCACCAUGUGGUUGCUGGGAUUUGAACUCAAAACCUCUGGAAGAACAGUCAGUGCUCUUAACCACUGAGCCACCUCUCUCCGGCCCAAGAGAGGUCAACUUUCUGACAGUCGACGGAAGAAACACCUUUGUAGGUUCUUUCAUAGAUGAGUCUUGACUCUAGACCAUGUAUGGAGUCUUGACUCUAGACCAUCUUUAGAUCAGUUAUGUAGUUAUUUUCCUUUAUCCCGACUACAUAAUUAGAAUAACUAUUAUUGAUACAGAAGUACCUUUUUUAAAAAAAUUAACAUUAGACUUGCGAGGAAGAACAAAAAUGCUAAUGACUGCCCUGGGAAAUUCCUUAAAGCUGCCACCACCCUUUGCCAAGAUAGUAACACACCUUCAGGGAAAUAGCAAACCUGACUGCAAAAGACCCAAACACUUCAGGGUGACGGUCUCCAGUGUAUCACAGAUUAAUUCUUGAUCUGGAAAAACAGACACUGUGGGGAAAGCUUGGAGUGCUGUGCAAAUUGGUGGCAUACACAGACCAACAUUCAACUGAUUUUUGAUGAAAGUGCUAAGAAGACACAUUAAAGAAACACCGUCCUUUCAGUGAAUGCUGCUAAGAGCUAGUUACCUUGUAUAUACACAUGCAGACAAAUGGAAGUAUAAGUCAAUCUCUCAUGGUUCAAAAAAAAAAAAAGAUGAAAGGCUUACAUGUAGCACUUAAACUAUGGCUGUCCUAGAAGGAAAUAUGGUGGGAAUGUGUCAAGACAAGGCAACGGAUUUUUAAAUAAAGCUCCAAAUCACAAGAGGCAAGCAGACAAGUAGCCUUCUCUUCAACUAAAAAGACCCAGCAAAACAACAGCCAACAAUGAGAAGAGGAAUCUACAGCACAGGAGAAAGUACUUAUGCACUAUUCACCUAACAAGAACUUAAUAUGUAGGAUUUAUAAAAGAUUAAAAGUCAAUAAUCAAACUUAAAUGAUCUGUUUUAACAAUGGAUAAUAGUCAUAAGUUGGCAUUUUGACAAGAGAAGACACAGAAGUUAUUAUUAGGGGAAAAUGCUCAAGACCAAAUUAUUGGAGAAGUACAAUUCAGAGCAAUGGUGGGCUUACUUUCCUCCAGUUAGAAUGCUAUCAUCAUCAUCAUCAUCAUCAUCAUCAUCAUCAUCAUUAAUUUUAAAACUGAAAGAAACAAGAGUUGGUGUGAAUGUGGACAACAGGGAACUCUUUCUGAUGGAAAUUAUGGAAACCAUUAUGGAAAAAUGGUAGCUCCUUAAAUAAUUAUAAUCAAAAGAUCUGGCAGUUCCACUGUUGAAUGUAUGUAUAUUCAGGGAUACAGAAUCAGUAUGCUGAAGACAUCUGCUCUCACAUGACUGCAAUGCCGUUCACAACAGGCAAGAAGUGGAAACAAGCUAAGGAUGCAUUAGUCGAUGAAUGGACUUUAAAAUGUGUCUGUACCCGCAAUGGGUACUAUUAGGCUGUGAAGAUAACAGAAACCUGGCCUUUGCAGUGACACAGAUGGGCUGGACAUCAUUGCUAAACGGAGCCGGUGCAGCACGGAACUGUGAGCAUCAUAGGCUCUCGCUCCUGUGUGUACUGAAGAAGUGUUGUUCUCAUAGAAGAUGCAAGGAUGAGCAGAGUCGUCCAGUGAGGACCAAGGCACAGUUAGAUGGCAGAAGAAGGUUCUGGUGUACUCUGGCACGGCAGGGUGAAUAUCGUCCACAGCAGUGCAUUUUAAAAAUCUAAGAGAAAGUAUUUUGAGUGUUUGCAUCAUGAAGUAAAUGAUGCGUGUCUGAGGAGAGAGCAGUUUCUAACCUGACAAACAUUAUGUAAACCGCUAUGUAUCAAAACAUUGUAUUUUCCAACGAAUGCACAUGAAUGCAAUGCAUAUGUGGCAGGUUUAAAAAUUAACUUUAAUCCACAGGGACUAUUUUUUAAAAGAAAACAAACUGGAGCGCAACAGUACUUCAGUGUGGUUUCAAUUUAUGUGUCUCUGACAAUUGCUCACGUUUCAGUUUAAUUCAGUUGAUUAUUACUGAAGCAACUGGAAACCCACUCAUCCAAGAGAAGCCAGCAUUCUGUAUGUUACUCGUCACUUGUUACAGCAACCAAUGUGGGUUCAUGUGGUUAUUUGAAUGGGAAAUGUCCUCCAUGGCUCAGGUGUUUGAACACAUGGUCCAGCUGAUGUUGCAGAUUGGGAAAACUUAGGGCUGGCCUCGCUGGAGGAAUGGCUUCCCUGUGGGAGGACUUUGAAAGGAUAUAGCCUCACCCCAUUUCCAGUUUUCAUCUUGACUUCAAGCUGGCACUGGAGGACGUGAGCUACCAGCUUCCAGAUCCUGUUGCCUUGACUGCCUUCCACCGUGAUGGACUCUUAAUGCCUCUGGCACCAUAGCCAAAACAAACCCUUUCUUCUAGAAGAUGCUUCGGUCCUAGUGUUUUGUUACAGCAGCAGUUCAGAAACUAAUACAUCCCGUGAUCAAAUGCUUGCUUGGUCUUUCAGACUGGUAGCAUCAUCUCCUGUGGUAGGUGUGGUAAUGGCCACGGUUGGAGAUUUGGAUGUCCCAGUCUCACGUGUUGGGCAAUUGUUUCUUGCUGGCGGUAUUUGGGAAGGUUUAGGAAUUUAGGAGGUGAGACGUAUUUGCAAGAAGUAUAUCACUGAAGAGUGACUGUGAAGGCUGGUCUCCAGUCCUCAUCCUCACUCUGUGCUUCCCACCUCCUAUGAAGUGAAGAACCACUUCUGCCACACACUCAGUCCUCCAUGACUCUUGGCUUCUUCAGGGGACCAGAGUCAAUGAAUCUAAGAGCUAUGGACAUAAAAACAUAAUGGCAUGAGAUAAAAUAAAUAGUUCUUGGAUCUGACAUUUGUUGUUAGAUGUCAUCAAUUUCACCCCCCAUCCUCCCUUAUCUCCACCCCCAUGGCCAGCUUAGUACCUUUUGUAACCAUGAAAACUACCAAGCCAAGAGAAAGUUUUCAGGUCACUUCCAGCUGGAUUUUUCUAUGUCCU